GCCAGUGUGGCACAGUGGUUUAAGCAAUGGGCAGCAACUCUGGAGACCAGGGUUCGAUUCCCAGCUCGGCCA
Molecule: non-coding RNA, 72 nt
Organism: Phrynosoma platyrhinos (Desert horned lizard)
Lineage: Eukaryota; Metazoa; Chordata; Lepidosauria; Squamata; Phrynosomatidae
Source: the annotation of a GenBank genome assembly